UCAGUCAUGCUCCUGUUGCUUCUGGCAGUACUGGGGAUGAUUUUGAGAGAUGCCAGAGCUCAGUCUGUGACUCAGCAAGUCGGCCCUGUCACCGUUGCAGAAGGAGACUUUCUAGAGUUUGGAUGCAACUAUUCAUACAGGGGAACUGUUUCUCUCUACUGGUAUGUCCAGUACCCUGGCCAAGGCCUCCAGCUUCUCCUCAGAUAUUACUCUGGGGACCCCAUUGUUAAAGGGAUCAAAGGCUUUGAGGCUGAAUUUAGGAAGAGUGAAUCUUCCUUCAACUUGAGGAAACACCCCACGCAUUGGAGUGACUCAGCUGCGUACUUCUGUGCUGUGAGUGCCACAGUGCCUGGGACUUCAGGGCGAGCUGAACACAAACUUUGUGAGAUGCUAGGGAGGGUGACUGAAUUCUGA
This is a non-coding RNA of Nycticebus coucang (slow loris), 414 nucleotides long. NCBI's taxonomy places the organism in Eukaryota, Metazoa, Chordata, Mammalia, Primates, Lorisidae. The record is from the annotation of a RefSeq genome assembly.